Molecule: ribosomal RNA, 320 nt
Filed under: uncultured Pezizales
Lineage: Eukaryota; Fungi; Ascomycota; Pezizomycetes; Pezizales
Description: eukaryotic LSU rRNA
Rfam family: Eukaryotic large subunit ribosomal RNA (bases 265-320)
Source: RNAcentral
ACGACUACAGGUGAAUCAUCGAAUCUUUGAACGCAAUUUGCACCUGAUGGCUUUUGUCAACAGGUAUACUUGUUUGAGUAUCAUUAACACUCUCUCACUACUCUGUGGGGAAUUGAGCGUCUCGAUAGAGUCGCUUUAAAGAUAGACCUGGUCGUGCACUUGAGCGCACGGUCUAUUGGGAUAACAUCCUAACAAUAGACUGUUCCUGUUGCCUGCUAUAUUUUAUAUGGCACCAUGUUCCGUCCGCAAGGACAACUAUAACUUUGAUCUCAAAUCAAGUAAGGAUACCCGCUGAAUUUAAGCAUAUCAAUAAGCGGAGG